RNAcentral lists this unclassified non-coding RNA (316 nucleotides) under Zea mays. Its description in RNAcentral is "misc RNA Zm00001eb330220". Lineage: Eukaryota; Viridiplantae; Streptophyta; Magnoliopsida; Poales; Poaceae. The record is from RNAcentral.
CCGCAACCGUAACAACACAACACGCGCUGAAUCUGUUAUCGGUAGAUCUGGACUCAGGCUUCAGAGAAGGGGGCCGCGCGGUACCUCGGCUGGGGGCGGGAAGAGGGAGGAGGCGGAGGAAGCGGCGCGAACUUGCUGCCCCUCAUCGCCCGCUUCUCAUCGUCGGACAGGUCGCCGGCCGCCGCCAUGUCGCCGCCGAACUGCACGGGGCGGUGGACAGGAGGAGGACGGAAGAGGACUGAGGGUGAAGAAGGAAGCGCGACCGGUUGAGUUCUGGUCUGGUCGAACCAGGUACGCGGCCCGACCGGACACUGGC